CACCGCCGGCCACCCCGUACCCUAGCCGAGCCCUUGCUCACUUGCAGUGCCCUCUCGCCACUGUCUUGUGCCCCAGCGCCGGCCGCCGUUACCUGUGCCCUAACGCCGGCCUCAUCUUCACUCUCUUCCCAAGCCUUUCUUUCUUCUUCUACCCUCUGCCCCAACGUCCACUGCCGACGCUAAGGUCCAGCAACCUUCUGCCGUGCUUUAGACUCCACUGGCGGGUCUUUCUUCUUCGCCACCAGUCGCCGGCAGAGAGGAAACAGAGGGUGACGAGUAGCAGCCAACAGCCCUUAGCGGCGCAAUUUCCGCUAUCAACUCUUUGAUUCCAGUUCAAAACAGUGGCUGUGAAGUUAGGACCUUGACGCGAGACGAGUAUCUCGACGUCGUGUUCGAACCAGAUUGGACAUU
This is a long non-coding RNA of Zingiber officinale, 411 nucleotides long. RefSeq lists it as uncharacterized. The record is from RefSeq and is a predicted model, not a curated record. The transcript has 3 exons. Lineage: Eukaryota; Viridiplantae; Streptophyta; Magnoliopsida; Zingiberales; Zingiberaceae.